UGAACGCUAGCGACAGGCUUAACACAUGCAAGUCGAGGGGUAACAGGGUAGCAAUACCGCUGACGACCGGCGCACGGGUGAGUAACGCGUAUGCAACCUGCCUGUAACUGGGGGAAUAGCUCCCUGAAAGGGGAAUUAACACCGCAUAACACUAUUGAUUCGCAUGGAUUGGUAGUUAAAUGUAGCGAUACAGGUUAUAGAUGGGCAUGCGUGACAUUAGCUAGUUGGUGAGGUAACGGCUCACCAAGGCUACGAUGUCUAGGGGUUCUGAGAGGAAGGUCCCCCACACUGGUACUGAGACACGGACCAGACUCCUACGGGAGGCAGCAGUGAGGAAUAUUGGUCAAUGGGCGCAAGCCUGAACCAGCCAUGUCGCGUGCAGGAAGACUGCCCUAUGGGUUGUAAACUGCUUUUAUAGUAGAAGAAACACAUCUACGCGUAGAUGUCUGCCAGUAUACUAUGAAUAAGCAUCGGCUAACUCCGUGCCAGCCGCUGC
Molecule: ribosomal RNA, 496 nt
Filed under: uncultured bacterium
Lineage: Bacteria
Description: bacterial SSU rRNA
Rfam family: Bacterial small subunit ribosomal RNA
Source: RNAcentral